This 64-nucleotide non-coding RNA is filed under the name Andreprevotia lacus DSM 23236. Its description in RNAcentral is "Betaproteobacteria toxic small RNA". It matches the Rfam family "Betaproteobacteria toxic small RNA". From Rfam's summary of the family: Overexpression in amino aid rich medium attenuates growth, suggesting role in repressing amino acid intake and metabolism. Lineage: Bacteria; Pseudomonadati; Pseudomonadota; Betaproteobacteria; Neisseriales; Chitinibacteraceae. The record is from Rfam by way of RNAcentral.
CGUCUCCUCCAUCCUCCUUCUUUGGUGGAAUUCAGCGCAAUCCGUACGGGUUGCGUUUUUUUUU